This is a long non-coding RNA of Zonotrichia leucophrys gambelii, 310 nucleotides long. RefSeq lists it as uncharacterized. The transcript is spliced from 3 exons. Lineage: Eukaryota; Metazoa; Chordata; Aves; Passeriformes; Passerellidae. The record is from RefSeq and is a predicted model, not a curated record.
GGACCCCCCAAAUCCCCCCCAGGGCCCCCCCAGGAUGGAUUUCCUGCGGCGCCGCCUCUCGGAUGGGAAUUUCCUGGCGGGGGGGGGCUGGGUGGAGACCCCCCCCCAGCUGGGGGAGGGGCGGGGAGACCCCCGCGGACCCCUCCCCCCACGGCGCCGCUGCUGCUCGUGAUCGCCCCCCCCGGCACGGACUGGGUGAAACCAUUCAAGGGCAAAUCCGUGCAUGGGGACGUCGAGCUGAGAGUGGAGCAGGCCCAGUUCUCGGAGCUCUCCUUGGCCGCCUCCACCCACGGCGCCCUCAGCGUCAGCA